UUAUUGAAUAAAUUGCUUGGUUAGAACUUGAAGCAGAGAAACGAUAAAAGUUCUAACCAAGCAAUUUAUUCAAUAAU
Non-coding RNA from Podarcis lilfordi (Lilford's wall lizard), 77 nucleotides. The record is from the annotation of a GenBank genome assembly. NCBI's taxonomy places the organism in Eukaryota, Metazoa, Chordata, Lepidosauria, Squamata, Lacertidae.